Oreochromis niloticus (Nile tilapia) is the source of this 592-nucleotide long non-coding RNA. RefSeq lists it as uncharacterized. The record is from RefSeq and is a predicted model, not a curated record. The transcript is spliced from 3 exons. Lineage: Eukaryota; Metazoa; Chordata; Actinopteri; Cichliformes; Cichlidae.
UUCGCAUUGUGUCCUCUGCUCCGUUCUGACUGAAACAGACAGAUCCACAUCAAACCCUGAUUUCUGGAGCAAAACUGAGAGACGCGAGAAUGUUUUGUUAUCGUGUGGUUGUUUUGGCACUUUUGGUUGUCUUACUGCUAAAUGUUGCUCAAAAUGAGGCUGCAUCCUUCCCGUGGUCUUGCCUCAGUCUAAGUGGAGUAUGUAGAAAGGUUUGCCUCCCAACAGAGUUGUUCUUUGGACCUCUGGGCUGUGGGAAAGGCUCCCUGUGUUGCGUGUCUCACUUUCUAUGAGGAAAGCAUGUCUGGACUGAAGUCAGAGAUACCAGAUGACCUACCAAGCCUGACAGAGGAUGAGGCAAACAGAAAGCACUGUUGUGGAGGGUUGAAUUUAGCAUUCUAACACUAUGUAACAUGGCAGACUUUGUAAUAUUAAAUUAACGUCUUGUGUUAACUUGUUGGGUUUUGUUUUGGUUUGGUUUUUUUGCAGCUAAAUUAAGGGUGAAUUCUUACAAAAACAUUUUAGCUUGACUGUAUAUUUUUAGUAAGAAUGUGAUUCAAAUUUGAUCUGAAACAAGAAGUCUUCUAAUACUCUG